RNAcentral lists this ribosomal RNA (492 nucleotides) under uncultured bacterium. Its description in RNAcentral is "partial 16S ribosomal RNA". It matches the Rfam family "Bacterial small subunit ribosomal RNA", at positions 29 to 507 of the family's 1533-position model. The record is from RNAcentral.
AGUGGACGCUGGCGGUAGGCCUAACACAUGCAAGUCGAACGGCAGCACAGUAAGAGCUUGCUCUUACGGGUGGCGAGUGGCGGACGGGUGAGGAAUACAUCGGAAUCUACUUUUUCGUGGGGGAUAACGUAGGGAAACUUACGCUAAUACCGCAUACGACCUACGGGUGAAAGCAGGGGAUCUUCGGACCUUGCGCGAUUGAAUGAGCCGAUGUCGGAUUAGCUAGUUGGCGGGGUAAAGGCCCACCAAGGCGACGAUCCGUAGCUGGUCUGAGAGGAUGAUCAGCCACACUGGAACUGAGACACGGUCCAGACUCCUACGGGAGGCAGCAGUGGGGAACAUUGGACAAUGGGCGCAAGCCUGAUCCAGCCAUACCGCGUGGGUGAAGAAGGCCUUCGGGUUGUAAAGCCCUUUUGUUGGGAAAGAAAAGCAGCAGGUUAAUACCCCGCUGUUCUGACGGUACCCAAAGAAUAAGCACCGGCUAACUUCGUG